This 305-nucleotide ribosomal RNA is filed under the name uncultured bacterium. RNAcentral's name for it is "bacterial SSU rRNA". It matches the Rfam family "Bacterial small subunit ribosomal RNA", at positions 333 to 630 of the family's 1533-position model. The record is from RNAcentral.
UUUUUCCUACGGGGGGCAGCAGUGGGGAAUUUUGGACAAUGGGCGCAAGCCUGAUCCAGCUAUUCCGCGUGUGGGAUGAAGGCCCUCGGGUUGUAAACCACUUUUGUAGAGAACGAAAAGACACCUUUUAAUAAAGGGUGUUGCUGACGGUACUCUAAGAAUAAGCACCGGCUAACUACGUGCCAGCAGCCGCGGUAAUACGUAGGGUGCGAGCGUUAAUCGGAAUUACUGGGCGUAAAGGGUGCGCAGGCGGUUGAGGAAGACAGGUGUGAAAUCCCCGAGCUUAACUCGGGAAUGGCAUAUGU